AGCUGAGCUAGGCCGGAGUGCUAGGCGUACUUUGUUACCUUCAACCGUCUUUAGGAGGGGCGACAGCUGUUAGCGGCACUACUUGUGUGCAAACAAUCCGCAAAAUUCAUGUCGAAACCCUGUCCCUCGGGGUUGCAGGAAGUUGCAGAGGAUUACCGGAGGGUAAUUUUCGAGCUCUUAUCGUGGAAAUCGGGUCAGGCCCGGAAGGGAGCAGCCUUACCACGGACUAACAACGCUCGAGUGGGUCGCGGGGUGGAGUGGAUCUGCGGUGUCGGGUGCAUGCUGGAAGUGACAACAACAGUUGCUCAGCA
RNAcentral lists this signal recognition particle RNA (311 nucleotides) under Marine Group III euryarchaeote CG-Bathy1. RNAcentral's name for it is "signal recognition particle sRNA". It matches the Rfam family "Archaeal signal recognition particle RNA". The record is from RNAcentral. Lineage: Archaea; Methanobacteriati; Thermoplasmatota; Thermoplasmata; Candidatus Thermoprofundales.